GACGAACGCUGGCGGCGUGCCUAAUACAUGCAAGUUGAGCGCUGAAGGUUGGUACUUGUACCAACUGGAUGAGCAGCGAACGGGUGAGUAACGCGUGGGGAAUCUGCCUUUGAGCGGGGGACAACAUUUGGAAACGAAUGCUAAUACCGCAUAAAAACUUUAAACACAAGUUUUAAGUUUGAAAGAUGCAAUUGCAUCACUCAAAGAUGAUCCCGCGUUGUAUUAGCUAGUUGGUGAGGUAAAGGCUCACCAAGGCGAUGAUACAUAGCCGACCUGAGAGGGUGCUCGGCCACAUUGGGACUGAGACACGGCCCAAACUCCUACGGGAGGCAGCAGUCGGGAAUCUUCGGCAAUGGACGAAAGUCUGACCGAGCAACGCCGCGUGAGUGAAGAAGGUUUUCGGAUCGUAAAACUCUGUUGGUAGAGAAGAACGUUGGUGAGAGUGGAAAGCUCAUCAAGUGACGGUAACUACCCAGAAAGGGACGGCUAACUACGUG
This 497-nucleotide ribosomal RNA is filed under the name uncultured bacterium. RNAcentral describes it as "partial 16S ribosomal RNA". It matches the Rfam family "Bacterial small subunit ribosomal RNA", at positions 28 to 507 of the family's 1533-position model. The record is from RNAcentral.